GUCUGGUGCCAGCAGCCGCGGUAAUUCCAGCUCCACUAGCGUAUAUUAAAGUUGCUGCAGUUAAAAAGCUCGUAGUCGGAUCUCGGGAUCGUGUCGGCGAUUUGGUUGCUUCUCCUGCGUUUCGGCGUUGGGGGUUGUGGCCGGUCGUCGGCCCUGCCGGCGAGGUCCCUACCUUUGGUGGGGUUCCACCUCGCUCGUGCAGCCCGCCGUCGCGAUUUGGCGGGUGUCCUUAAUUGGAUGCCCGUCUCGAUCGUGACCAUUUUACCUUGAACAAAUCGGAGUGCUCAAAGCAGGCUCUUCAUCGCUCGUACGGUAGCGCAUGGAAUAAUGGAAAAGGACUUGCUUCCGCUUCUGUUGGUCUCACGGAGGCAGGUAAUGAUCAAGAGGGACGGAUGGGGGCAGAGGUAUGUCUCGGCGAGAGGUGAAAUUCUUGGACCCUAGACAGACCCUCGAGAGCGAAAGCAUCUGCCAAAGAUGUUUCCAUUGAUCAAGAACGAAAGUCGCGGGAUCGAACGGGAUUAGAUACCCCGGUAGUCGCGACCGUAAACGAUGCCAACCGGGAAUUCGGCGGCGUUACUUCCAUGACCCGUCGAGCGCCCGACCCGGGAAACCGAGAGUCUUUGGGUUCCGGGGGGAGUAUGGUUGCAAAGCUGAAACUUAAAGGAAUUGACGGAAGGGCACCACCAGGAGUGGAGCCUGCGGCUUAAUUUGACUCAACACGGGGAACCUCACCCGGCCCGGACACCGCGAGGAUUGACAGACUGAGAGCUCUUUCUCGAUUCGGUGGGUGGUGGUGCAUGGCCGUUCUUAGUUGGUGGAGCGAUCUGUCUGGUUAAUUCCGAUAACGAACGAGACCCCAACCUGCUAACUAGCCCUCGGGUCCUGCUUCUGUUGGGCCCGACGGAAUGAUUCGCUUCUUAGAGGGACUCGCGGCGCCUAGCCGCACGAAGGGGGGCGAUAACAGGUCUGUGAUGCCCUUAGAUGUUCGGGGCUGCACGCGCGCUACACUGAAGGCAUCAGCGUGCGCUUUUGCCGUUCCCUGCCUGAAAAGGCCGGGUAACCCGCUGAACCGCCUUCGUGCCUGGGAUAGGGAUUUGCAAUUAUCUCCCUUGAACGAGGAAUUCCCAGUAGGCGCGAGUCAUCA
Molecule: ribosomal RNA, 1144 nt
Filed under: Parasagitta elegans
Lineage: Eukaryota; Metazoa; Chaetognatha; Sagittoidea; Aphragmophora; Sagittidae
Description: SSU rRNA
Rfam family: Eukaryotic small subunit ribosomal RNA
Source: RNAcentral